GAUGAACGCUGGCGGCGUGCCUAAUACAUGCAAGUCGAGCGAACAGAUGAGGAGCUUGCUCCUCUGACGUUAGCGGCGGACGGGUGAGUAACACGUGGAUAACCUACCUAUAAGACUGGGAUAACUUCGGGAAACCGGAGCUAAUACCGGAUAAUAUAUUGAACCGCAUGGUUCAAUAGUGAAAGACGGUUUUGCUGUCACUUAUAGAUGGAUCCGCGCCGCAUUAGCUAGUUGGUAAGGUAACGGCUUACCAAGGCAACGAUGCGUAGCCGACCUGAGAGGGUGAUCGGCCAAACUGGAACUGAGACACGGUCCAGACUCCUACGGGAGGCAGCAGUAGGGAAUCUUCCGCAAUGGGCGAAAGCCUGACGGAGCAACGCCGCGUGAGUGAUGAAGGUCUUCGGAUCGUAAAACUCUGUUAUUAGGGGAGAACAAAUGUGUAAGUAACUAUGCACGUCUUGACGGUACCUAAUCAGAAAGCCACGGCUAACUACGUG
This 497-nucleotide ribosomal RNA is filed under the name uncultured bacterium. Its description in RNAcentral is "partial 16S ribosomal RNA". It matches the Rfam family "Bacterial small subunit ribosomal RNA", at positions 28 to 507 of the family's 1533-position model. The record is from RNAcentral.